UACGUAGGUGGCAAGCGUUGUCCGGAAUUACUGGGUGUAAAGGGAGCGCAGGCGGGAAGCCAAGUCAGCUGUGAAAACUACGGGCUUAACUUGUAGACUGCAGUUGAAACUGGUUUUCUUGAGUGAAGUAGAGGUUGGCGGAAUUCCGAGUGUAGCGGUGAAAUGCGUAGAUAUUCGGAGGAACACCGGUGGCGAAGGCGGCCAACUGGGCUUUAACUGACGCUGAGGCACGAAAGUGUGGGGAGCAAACAGG
This 253-nucleotide ribosomal RNA is filed under the name uncultured bacterium. RNAcentral's name for it is "partial 16S ribosomal RNA". It matches the Rfam family "Bacterial small subunit ribosomal RNA", at positions 524 to 776 of the family's 1533-position model. The record is from RNAcentral.